This 420-nucleotide ribosomal RNA is filed under the name Fusobacteriota bacterium. Its description in RNAcentral is "Fusobacteria bacterium partial 16S ribosomal RNA". It matches the Rfam family "Bacterial small subunit ribosomal RNA", at positions 355 to 776 of the family's 1533-position model. The record is from RNAcentral. Lineage: Bacteria; Fusobacteriati; Fusobacteriota.
UGGGGAAUAUUGCACAAUGGACGGAAGUUUGAUGCAGCGACGCCGCGUGGAGGGUGUAGGCCUUCGGGUUGUGAACUCCUUUUUCUCGCGAAAAAGGCACAGUUUUGGCUGUGUUGAUGGUAGUGGGGGAAGAAGCGCCGGCUAACUACGUGCCAGCAGCCGCGGUAAUACGUAGGGCGCGAGCGUUGUCCGGAAUUAUUGGGCGUAAAGGGUACGUAGGCGGUUUAAUAAGUCCUAAUUAAAAGGCUAUGGCUCAACCAUAGUAUGGUUAGGAAACUGUUGAACUUGAGUAGAUGAGGGGAAAGUGGAAUUCCAUGUGUAGCGGUGAAAUGCGUAGAUAUAUGGAGGAACACCAAUGGCGAAGGCAACUUUCUGGAAUCAAACUGACGCUGAGGUACGAAGGCGUGGGGAGCAAACAGG